UACGAAGGGUGCGAGCGUUAAUCGGAAUUACUGGGCGUAAAGCGCGCGUAGGCGGUUCGGUAAGUCGGAUGUGAAAGCCCAGGGCUUAACCUUGGAAUUGCAUUCGAUACUGCCGGACUAGAGUAUUGGAGAGGAAAGUGGAAUUUCGGGUGUAGCGGUGAAAUGCGUAGAUAUCCGAAGGAACACCAGUGGCGAAGGCGACUUUCUGGCCAAAUACUGACGCUGAGGUGCGAAAGCGUGGGGAGCAAACAGG
This 253-nucleotide unclassified non-coding RNA is filed under the name uncultured Gammaproteobacteria bacterium. RNAcentral describes it as "contains 16S-23S intergenic spacer region". It matches the Rfam family "Bacterial small subunit ribosomal RNA", at positions 524 to 776 of the family's 1533-position model. Lineage: Bacteria; Pseudomonadati; Pseudomonadota; Gammaproteobacteria. The record is from RNAcentral.